RNAcentral lists this ribosomal RNA (720 nucleotides) under Synalpheus stimpsonii complex sp. B KMH-2014. RNAcentral describes it as "SSU rRNA". It matches the Rfam family "Eukaryotic small subunit ribosomal RNA", at positions 774 to 1497 of the family's 1831-position model. Lineage: Eukaryota; Metazoa; Arthropoda; Malacostraca; Decapoda; Alpheidae. The record is from RNAcentral.
AAAUGAGAGUGCUCAAAGCAGGCUAUUCUUAAAACUAAAGCCCGAAUGUUACCUGCAUGGAAUGAUGAAAGAUGAUCUCGGUUCCAUUUUGCUGGUUGUGGGAACCCGAGUUAAUGAUAAACAGGGACUGUCGGGGGCAUCCGUACUACGACGCGAGAGGUGAAAUUCAAUGACCGUCGUAGGACGAACAACAGCGAAAGCAUUUGCCAAGAAUGUCUUCGUUGAUCAAGAACGAAAGUUAGAGGAUCGAAGGCGAUCAGAUACCGCCCUAGUUCUAACCCUAAACGAUGCUGACUAGCAAUUCGCCGUCGUUAUUCCCAUGACGUGGCGAGACGCCCCCGGGAAACCUCAAGUCUUUGAGUUCCGGGGGUAGUAUGGUUGCAAAACUGAAACUUAAAGGAAUUGACGGAAGGGCACCACCAGGAGUGGAGCCUGCGGCUUAAUUUGACUCAACACGGGAAACCUCACCAGGCCCGGACACCAGAAGGAUUGACAGAUUAAGAGCUCUUUCUCGAUUUGGUGGGUGGUGGUGCAUGGCCGUUCUUAGUUGGUGGAGUGAUUUGUCUGGUUAAUUCCGGUAACGAACGAGACUCUGGCCUACUAACUAGUGGAYGUGGGKUUKCMUGCAUGGGCCCCAUCCGAUAAUGUCUUCUUAGAGGGAUGAGCAGCGAGUAUAGCUGCAGGAGAUUGAGCAAUAACAGGUCUGUGAUGCCCUUAGAA